RNAcentral lists this ribosomal RNA (325 nucleotides) under Panagrolaimus sp. JU1367. RNAcentral describes it as "LSU rRNA". It matches the Rfam family "Eukaryotic large subunit ribosomal RNA", at positions 662 to 963 of the family's 3401-position model. Lineage: Eukaryota; Metazoa; Nematoda; Chromadorea; Rhabditida; Panagrolaimidae. The record is from RNAcentral.
CGGACCAAGGAGUUUAUCGUAUGUGCGAGUCAUUGAGUGAUUAAAACUCAUUGGCAUAAUGGAAGUAAAGUUAUCAUCAGAUAAUGAUAUGUGAUAGAUAAUCUACGGAAAAUCUAGCAACAUAGUCCAAUCUAAUAUGCUUGCAUAUGGGUUGAGAUAGAGCAUAUGCGAUGAGACCCGAAAGAUGGUGAACUAUGCCUGAACAGGAUGAAGUCAGAGGAAACUCUGAUGGAAGUCCGAAGCGGUUCUGACGUGCAAAUCGAUCGUCUGAUUUGGGUAUAGGGGCGAAAGACUAAUCGAACCAUCUAGUAGCUGGUUCCUUCCG